Molecule: transfer RNA, 75 nt
Filed under: Pseudomonadota bacterium
Lineage: Bacteria; Pseudomonadati; Pseudomonadota
Also listed under: 1 other name
Description: tRNA-Val
Rfam family: tRNA
About the family: Transfer RNA (tRNA) molecules are approximately 80 nucleotides in length.
Source: RNAcentral
GGGCGAGUAGCUCAGUGGGAGAGCGCUUCCCUUACAAGGAAGAUGCCACAGGUUCGAAUCCUGUCUCGCCCACCA